AUACGUAGGUGGCCAGCGUUAUCCGGAUUUACUGGGUGUAAAGGGCGCGUAGGCGGGGGUGCAAGUCAGAUGUGAAAUCUAUGGGCUUAACUCAUAAACUGCAUUUGAAACUGUAUCUCUUGAGUGCUGGAGAGGUAGACGGAAUUCCUUGUGUAGCGGUGAAAUGCGUAGAUAUAAGGAAGAACACCAGUGGCGAAGGCGGUCUACUGGACAGUAACUGACGCUGAGGCGCGAAAGCGUGGGGAGCAAACAGGAUUAGAUACCCUGGUAGUCCACGCUGUAAACGAUGAAUACUAGGUGUGGGGGGACUGACCCCCUCCGUGCCGCAGUUAACACAAUAAGUAUUCCACCUGGGGAGUACGGCCGCAAGGUUGAAACUCAAAUGAAUUGACGGGG
RNAcentral lists this ribosomal RNA (396 nucleotides) under uncultured bacterium. Its description in RNAcentral is "partial 16S ribosomal RNA". It matches the Rfam family "Bacterial small subunit ribosomal RNA", at positions 523 to 918 of the family's 1533-position model. The record is from RNAcentral.